AUGGAGCGCCCGCCCCCUCCUACAGGUACUGCGCAUGUGCAAGUGGCGCGCCGUGGGCCUGGCGCAGGCGCAGGCGCAGACGUGGCUCCUUCACAUAAAUUUUUCCUUGGGCUGGUUUCCUGCAUGUCUUCUAAGUAUUUGCUUUUAGUUUCCGUGUUUUGGUGUUUUGUUUGUUCGUUUUUUUUUGUUUUGUUUUUACGACAAUGCCUUCUAGGGGAACAGUGUCGCUGGGCUGGGCGGUGGAGAGACACCUUUGGCACCAUCGUGCGAUCUCAUGCACCCUACCAGUGGAAAAUCCAUUUGGGAUUGCCCAGUGCACACAGUAGACAUGGAAAUUGAUGAUCAGCAUCCCCAGCUGCCUUCAGUGGACUAGAAUGGUGGCUGCAAGCAGUGCUCAACUUAUGGUACAACCAAAAAAGAAGGCACACUUUUCAAUUCCAGCUUUGAAAAACCUCGGGAAAGGAUUCUGAUUGGCUGGCUUGGGUCUUGUGCUCACCCACUGACCUAACUUCUGUGGACAGGUGAGAAGCUCUGACUGGCUUAGCCUAGGGCACCCAUCCACCCCUAUGGCUAUGGGCCGGGUCAGGGUCUGUUCCCACAUAAAGGAAACAAAACACAGACAUUUCCACAGAGGAUUGUCAUUAGUCCAUUACAGGGAAUUGAGAGGUAAAAGGAGAUAGAAUCAAAGAAAGGUAAAUCAGAGAACUCUCAGAGUUUCAGAUUCUGUCCCUCUUGGGUCUCUGGGGUUUCUUGCUAAAAUAUGAGUAAAUAGGACAAAAUGAGGUAUUUAUGAUGCACCAUUGAGUGAGAGAAACAAGAUGCAUACAAGUGACAUAAAAUGCAUGAUUUGUCUCCUACAUUUAACUCCUGGAAAGGUAGGCUGAGGCCAGUGGCUAAUGAGGAAGAUCCCUCUUGCCUCAUGAAACAUUCCCUAAUAGGCCGGUAAUUUUCAGAGGUCACAGCCUCACCUGUGGGCAGAAACACCUCACAGAUGCUCACGUUCCUAGAGCUCUUCUGGCAUGAGGGCUCUGGCUGUCGUGUUUUCUGUCCCUCUCUGCUGGAUAAGUCCUCAUGCUUCCCCUGGCAGCCAGACUGGAUGGCAUUUUGAGUCAAGCUGUCUCUUGGAAGCUGAAACCAUUAUGAGAGCCUGGGUUGGGAUGGAGGGACAACUGGCAUUCGGCUGAGUGGGAGGACAUGGAACAGCUUACCAGCUGCUGAGGAGCGUGUUUGCAAAGUAUGAGAGACGGGAGUGGGGAGAGAGAGAGAGAGAAGAAAAACUGUGUGUGUGUGUGUCUGUGUGUGUAUGUCUGGGUGUGUCCAUGUAACAUUCAAUUUAUUAUUACAAAUACUUUGUUCUUUCAUAACAGACUCUUUUGUCUUCUGAAUGUUUCUAGAACAUAUGCUGACUUCCUUAAGAUUAUUCUCUCAUCCAAGCCUGGGAAGGAAAAAUGGCAUGGGAGGCUCAAACCUGUCAGAGAUGGAGUAGGGUCUCUAGGGGCUAUGAGGCCAAUGCCUACCUUACCUCCUGGGAUAGGCUGUUUUGCAUUGCUAUAAAGAAAUACUUGAGGCUGGGUAAUUUAUAAAGAAAAGAGAUUUUAUUUUGGCUCAUGGUUCUGCAGACUGUGCAAGAAGCUUGAGUCCAGCAUCUUCUGGUGAGAGCCUCAGGAAGCUUUUACUCAUGGCAGAAGGUGAAGGGGGAGGCACUGGGGGAGAAGCGUGUCACAUGGCAAGUAGGAGCAAGAGAGAGAGAGAGAGGGAGGAAGUGCCACACUCUUUUAAACAACCAGGUCUUACAUGAACUCAGAGCAAGAACUCACUCUCACAAGGAGGGC
Long non-coding RNA from Pan troglodytes (chimpanzee), 1832 nucleotides. Lineage: Eukaryota; Metazoa; Chordata; Mammalia; Primates; Hominidae. The record is from Ensembl.